Molecule: ribosomal RNA, 121 nt
Filed under: uncultured bacterium
Lineage: Bacteria
Description: partial 16S ribosomal RNA
Rfam family: Bacterial small subunit ribosomal RNA
Source: RNAcentral
UGAAACUGGGGGUCUUGAGGGCAGGAGAGGAAAGUAGAAUUCCUGGUGUAGCGGUGAAAUGCGUAGAAAUCAGGAGGAGUACCAGUGGCGAAGGCGGCUUCCUGGACUGCCCCUGACGCUG